UGUUUCUGAUUUUAUGGAUUGUACCCAUCAACUUGAUGAAGGCAGAGGUGGUGCAGUCUCGCUUUUGGCUCACAGAAAAAAAUAGUAUGAACACAAAAUAAGUUUUAUCGUGUCAUUUGUUCUUAUGAAUGGGACAAGCUCACCAUUUUGAUGCAUGCAUGAAGAAAGAGAAUAUAUGCCACGGCAGUCUGCUCUCAACAACCUGGAUUAUUUUUACCUCAUGUUUCCACAAACUGAUGUCUAUGAAGUUCUACAGCCUUAUAAGUGGCAUAAACAAACACUGUCAAAAAAAAAAAAAAAUGCCUUCACAAAAAAGAAGACGGAGAGGGAAAGAGUGAAGGGAGGCUGGUAAAGACAGUUCAACAUUGCAAACAUGAAUACAAAACUCCAGCAAGUCAGCAGUCUGGCAGAAAUGAUGGGUGGUUCCAAAAUACAUGGUCACAUGACAGUAAAAGUGUACAGUUGCCAAGAUGCAGGGGGUAUGUCAACUUACA
Molecule: long non-coding RNA, 494 nt
Organism: Cyprinus carpio carpio
Lineage: Eukaryota; Metazoa; Chordata; Actinopteri; Cypriniformes; Cyprinidae
Source: Ensembl